UCCGUAGGUGAACCUGCGGAAGGAUCAUUAAAGAGUAAGGGUGCUCAGCGCCCGACCUCCAACCCUUUGUUGUUAAAACUACCUUGUUGCUUUGGCGGGACCGCUCGGUCUCGAGCCGCUGGGGAUUCGUCCCAGGCGAGCGCCCGCCAGAGUUAAACCAAACUCUUGUUAUUUAACCGGUCGUCUGAGUUAAAAUUUUGAAUAAAUCAAAACUUUCAACAACGGAUCUCUUGGUUCUCGCAUCGAUGAAGAACGCAGCGAAAUGCGAUAAGUAAUGUGAAUUGCAGAAUUCAGUGAAUCAUCGAAUCUUUGAACGCACAUUGCGCCCCUUGGUAUUCCGAGGGGCAUGCCUGUUCGAGCGUCAUUACACCACUCAAGCUAUGCUUGGUAUUGGGCGUCGUCCUUAGUUGGGCGCGCCUUAAAGACCUCGGCGAGGCCACUCCGGCUUUAGGCGUAGUAGAAUUUAUUCGAACGUCUGUCAAAGGAGAGGAACUCUGCCGACUGAAACCUUUAUUUUUCUAGGUUGACCUCGGAUCAGGUAGGGAUACCCGCUG
Molecule: ribosomal RNA, 554 nt
Filed under: Aureobasidium pullulans
Lineage: Eukaryota; Fungi; Ascomycota; Dothideomycetes; Dothideales; Saccotheciaceae
Description: eukaryotic LSU rRNA
Rfam family: 5.8S ribosomal RNA (bases 211-364)
Source: RNAcentral